UGGGGAAUAUUGCACAAUGGGCGCAAGCCUGAUGCAGCCAUGCCGCGUGUAUGAAGAAGGCCUUCGGGUUGUAAAGUACUUUCAGUCGGGAGGAAGGUGUCAAGGUUAAUAACCUUGGCAAUUGACGUUACCCGCAGAAGAAGCACCGGCUAACUCCGUGCCAGCAGCCGCGGUAAUACGGAGGGUGCAAGCGUUAAUCGGAAUUACUGGGCGUAAAGCGCACGCAGGCGGUUUGUUAAGUCAGAUGUGAAAUCCCCGGGCUCAACCUGGGAACUGCAUCUGAUACUGGCAAGCUUGAGUCUCGUAGAGGGGGGUAGAAUUCCAGGUGUAGCGGUGAAAUGCGUAGAGAUCUGGAGGAAUACCGGUGGCGAAGGCGGCCCCCUGGACGAAGACUGACGCUCAGGUGCGAAAGCGUGGGGAGCAAACAGG
This 429-nucleotide ribosomal RNA is filed under the name Chloroflexota bacterium. RNAcentral's name for it is "Chloroflexi bacterium partial 16S ribosomal RNA". It matches the Rfam family "Bacterial small subunit ribosomal RNA", at positions 355 to 776 of the family's 1533-position model. Lineage: Bacteria; Bacillati; Chloroflexota. The record is from RNAcentral.